CCCGGGCUCCCGGGGAGCGCUGCCGACGUCGGCUGGGUCCGGCAGGGCGCCUCCCACCGAGCUCUGCGGUUCCAAAGAGAGGCGUUUUCAGAGGGGUGAUUUUAAGUCUGCUUUUCACUUGCGAGGAAGUGCUAUUAGAAAACGUGUGCUUUGCCUUUACGUCGUCUUCAUUUAUUCCAGCCCGGAAUAUCCCACUCCAGGGCGUGGGCAGGUCCACACCUCUAGCGUCCCCGGAAUAGACCGCCCUAUUUAUUACAAGAUCUCUAGUUGAGAUCCCUAAAUACGAUCCUGCCGGCCAGAGGGUGGGGUCCAUGACGGAUAAGUGGGGAGUAUUCCAGUUCCAUGAAGUAAUAAUGGGUUUAUUGCUGGAGCUGAGCCAGUAUAGGGCCUCCGGUUACAUUUUCUCUACAAAUAUCUGUUGCCCACGCUUAAUGUGAGAGAAAUUCGUACAUGCUAUGCUGGCCAAGAUGUGCAUCAGUCAGGUGGUAAAUAUAUAUUGAGCAGCCACCGUUGCAAGGCUAAGAGCUAGUAACUUAAUUUGGAUCCUCAACUGCCCGAAAUCCAGUGGUGAAAAUAGAAAGGUACUUUUUAAGAGACCAAGAUGUUCUUUCUUAAAUAACGGGUCGUUAAGCAUGAAAGUGAUAACACUGACUUUCUGUAUGAUGGCAAAGCACAUUUAUUUUUCCCACUGAUGUCAUGACAGGCAAGCUCUGUGAGCUGUUUGCGCAGCCUCAACUAUUGCUCGAAAUGGCGGUGGAAAAGAAUGAUGGGGACCAGGGGCAUGGCCUCAGAAAGGCUGGAAUGGGAGUCUAGAUUCCUCCUUGUAAAGCGACGAGGAAAAGAUCUGGUAUUGUCUGGUGGACUUGUGUAGAACCAAUGCCGUAUACUGUAUCUUCUGUAACAUCCGAGGGAGUUCAGAGAAAGCACUGCAUAAUCAAAUACGGUGCUGAGGACAAUUCAAAGAUGAAGAGGACAACUUAGUUCCUGUCUUCCAGGAGCUCACAAUCUGCCAAUGGAGACAAAUAUGGAGUCCUAGUUUGAUGCUUUUUUUCAUUAUACCAUACCCCUCUCUUGGACCUUUUAAGAGUCUGCCCCCUCAAGAAUGUCUUUAUAAUUUAAUCGGUCACUGCAAGCUGGACAUUGCUCCAAGGCAAGCAAAUGCUGCCAUGUCAUUGAAGAUUGGGUCACUGACUGAGAUAUGUAUCCUGAAACACGAAGAUGGAGCAAUGGAGUCAUGAGCCAAGGAAUGUGGGCAACCUCCAGAAGCUGGAAAGGCAACCACAGAAAAUGAAUACAGAGCUCAUGCUUUGGAUUACCAGGCCUUGCUGUCUUGGAUGCCUACAAAAUGAGAGCUUAUGGAAUUACUGAGCCAUCGUAAGGAAAAACAGAGAAACAUGGCUG
Molecule: non-coding RNA, 1401 nt
Organism: Equus caballus (horse)
Lineage: Eukaryota; Metazoa; Chordata; Mammalia; Perissodactyla; Equidae
Source: RefSeq, a predicted model, not a curated record